AACUCGACUACAUGAAGCUGGAAUCGCUAGUAAUCGCAGAUCAGAAUGCUGCGGUGAAUACGUUCCCGGGUCUUGUACACACCGCCCGUCACACCAUGGGAGUCGGAAAUGCCCGAAGCCGGUGACCAAACCAAUAAGGAAGGAGCCGUCGAAGGCAGGUCUGAUAACUGGGGUGAAGUCGUAACAAGGUACC
Molecule: ribosomal RNA, 193 nt
Filed under: uncultured bacterium
Lineage: Bacteria
Description: partial 16S ribosomal RNA
Rfam family: Bacterial small subunit ribosomal RNA
Source: RNAcentral